This 1938-nucleotide ribosomal RNA is filed under the name mouse gut metagenome. RNAcentral's name for it is "bacterial LSU rRNA". It matches the Rfam family "Bacterial large subunit ribosomal RNA", at positions 3 to 1980 of the family's 2925-position model. The record is from RNAcentral.
UCAAGCAAGGAAGGGCGCAGGGAGGAUGCCUGGCCACACUGUACUGAAGAAGGACGUGCCAAACAGCGAAAUGCGACGGUGAGCCGUAAGGAGGCAAAGACCCGUCGGUGUCCGAAUGGGGGAACCCGGCAGCCAGAAGGCUGUCAUCCCGAAAGGGAGAGGUACCCGGGGAACUGAAACAUCUAAGUACCCGGAGGAAAAGAAAACAACAGUGAUUCCCCGAGUAGCGGCGAGCGAAAGGGGAGAAAGCCCAAACCGGAGAGAUCCGGGGUAGUAGGACCGUCAUAAGAGUGGGAAAGACACAGCAGAAUGUACAGGGAAGUACAGCCAGAGAGAGUGAAAGCCUCGUAAGCGAAGUGUGUGACGCAUGAGACGGGAUCCUGAGUACGGCGGGACACGAGAAAUCUUGUCGGAAGCAGGCGGGACCAUCCGCCAAGGCAAAAUAUACAGUGUGAGCGAUAGAGAACGAGUACCGUGAGGGAAAGGUGAAAAGAACCGCGGGAGCGGAGUGAAAGAGAACCUGAAACCGUGUGCCUAAAAGAAGUCAGAGCCCGUCAAAGGGUGAUGGCGUGCCUUUUGUAGAAUGAACCGGCGAGUUGUUCCAUGGUGCGAGGUUAAGUCGGAAAGGACGGAGCCGAAGCGAAAGCGAGUCUUAAGAGGGCGUUAAGAGUAGUAUGGAGCAGACCCGAAACCGGGUGAUCUAGCCAUGGGCAGGUUGAAGCAGAAGUGAAAUUCUGUGGAGGACCGAACCGACUACCGUUGAAAAGUUAGCGGAUGACCUGUGGCUAGGGGAGAAAUUCCAAUCGAACCCGGAGAUAGCUGGUUCUCCCCGAAAUAGCUUUAGGGCUAGCGUCGGAGGAUGACAGACGGAGGUAGAGCACUGAACGCAUGAUGGCCCCAUCCCGGGGUACUGAAUGCGAUCAAACUGCGAAUGCCGACUGGGAGGAAUCCGGCAGUGAGACUGUGGGUGAUAAGGUCCAUGGUCGAGAGGGAAAGAGCCCAGACCGCCAGCAAAGGUCCCAAAAUACUGGCUAAGUGGAAAAGGAUGUGGGGACGCACGGACAGCUAGGAGGUUGGCUCAGAAGCAGCCAUCCUUGAAAGAGUGCGUAACAGCUCACUAGUCGAGUGGCCCUGCGCCGAAAAUGUACCGGGGCUUAAGCCAGGUACCGAAGCUGCGGAUGUAUAUGGAAGUAUAUGUGGUAGGGGAGCGUUGCAUGCAGGAAGAAGUAUGACGGAGACGGCAUAUGGACAGCAUGGAAGAGAGAAUGCCGGUGUGAGUAGCGAGAUGCAGGUGAGAAUCCUGCACACCGAAAGCCCAAGGAUUCCAGGGGAAGGUUCGUCCGCCCUGGGUAAGUCGGGACCUAACGUGAGGCCGAAAGGCGCAGCGGAUGGAAAGCAGGCGGAGAUUCCUGCACCCGUAUAUGGAGCGAAGGAGUGACGGAGAAGGCAGAUGCGACCCUCUUACUGGAUUGAGGGCCAAGCGAAGCAGGUGGUAUCCAGGCAAAUCCGGAUACGGAAACCAGAGCGUGACGGGUAAGCGAAAGCGGAAAGCGAGUAGCGAAGCGCAUCGAGUCAGCUUCCAGGAAAAGCUUCUAGUGGAAAUGCAUAUACGGCCCGUACCAAAACCGACACAGGUGGGCGCGCAGAGGAUGCGAAGGUGAGCGAGAGAACUGUUGCCAAGGAACUCGGCAAAAUGGCCCCGUACGUUCGCAAGAAGGGGCGCUCGAAAGAGCCGCAGUGAAAAGGCCCAAGCGACUGUUUAACUAAAACACAGCUCCCUGCGAAGCCGCAAGGCGAAGUAUAGGGGGUGACACCUGCCCGGUGCUGGAAGGUUAAGGCAAGCUGUGAACCGCGAGGUGAAGCAGUGACCCGAAGCCCCAGUGAACGGCGGCCGUAACUAUAACGGUCCUAAGGUAGCGAAAUUCCUUGUCAGGUAAG